This 597-nucleotide ribosomal RNA is filed under the name uncultured Chloroflexota bacterium. Its description in RNAcentral is "bacterial SSU rRNA". It matches the Rfam family "Bacterial small subunit ribosomal RNA", at positions 472 to 1061 of the family's 1533-position model. Lineage: Bacteria; Bacillati; Chloroflexota. The record is from RNAcentral.
ACAGUAUCUCAGGAAUAAGUCUCGGCUAACUACGUGCCAGCAGCCGCGGUAAAACGUAGGAGGCGAGCGUUAUCCGGAUUCACUGGGCGUAAAGCGCGUGCAGGUGGUUCGGUAAGUUGAGCGUGAAAUCUCCCGGCUCGACUGGGAGAGGUCGUUCCAUACUACCGGACUUGAGAGCAGAAGAGGAAGAUGGAAUUCCCGGUGUAGUGGUGAAAUGCGUAGAUAUCGGGAGGAACACCAGUGGCGAAGGCGAUCUUCUGGGNUCUGUUUCUGACACUCAGACGCGACAGCUAGGGUAGUAAACGGGAUUUAGAGACCCCGGUAAUCCUAGCCGUAAACGAUGUGAACUUGGCGUUGGUGGGUUAAACUCCAUCAGUGCCGAAGCAAACGCGAUAAGUUCACCGCCUGGGGACUACGGCCGCAAGGUUAAAACUCAAAGGAAUUGACGGGGGCCCGCACAAGCAGCGGAGCGUGUGGUUUAAUUCGAUGCUACACGAAGAACCUUACCCAGGCUUGACAUACAGGUGGUAGUAGAUCCGAAAGGUGACCGACCCGCAAGGGAGCCUGAACAGGUGUUGCAUGGUCUGUCGUCAGCUC